This 103-nucleotide small nuclear RNA is filed under the name Tupaia belangeri (northern tree shrew). RNAcentral's name for it is "U4 spliceosomal RNA (ENSTBEG00000018078.1)". The stretch from base 1 to 75 matches the Rfam family "U4 spliceosomal RNA". Rfam says of the family: U4 small nuclear RNA (U4 snRNA) is a component of the major U2-dependent spliceosome. The structure of U4 snRNA from yeast and human has been reported. U4 snRNA presents a k-turn RNA motif in the 5p-SL related to recognition of Snu13 protein. The record is from RNAcentral. Lineage: Eukaryota; Metazoa; Chordata; Mammalia; Scandentia; Tupaiidae.
AGCUUUGCGCAGUGGCAGUAUCGUAGCCAAUGAGGUUUAUCCGAGGCGCGAUUAUUGCUAAUUGAAAACAACGAAGUAAACUGACAAAUGACAGCCCUUGGGC